RNAcentral lists this ribosomal RNA (497 nucleotides) under uncultured bacterium. RNAcentral's name for it is "bacterial SSU rRNA". It matches the Rfam family "Bacterial small subunit ribosomal RNA", at positions 28 to 518 of the family's 1533-position model. The record is from RNAcentral.
GAUGAACGCUAGCUACAGGCUUAACACAUGCAAGUCGAGGGGCAGCAUCAUCAAAGCUUGCUUUGAUGGAUGGCGACCGGCGCACGGGUGAGUAACACGUAUCCAACCUGCCGACAACACUGGGAUAGCCUUUCGAAAGAAAGAUUAAUACCGGAUGGCAUAGUUUUCCCGCAUGGGAUAAUUAUUAAAGAAUUUCGGUUGUCGAUGGGAUGCGUUCCAUUAGGCAGUUGGCGGGGUAACGGCCCACCAAACCUACGAUGGAUAGGGGUUCUGAGAGGAAGGUCCCCCCACAUUGGAACUGAGACACGGUCCAAACUCCUACGGGAGGCAGCAGUGAGGAAUAUUGGUCAAUGGGCGCUAGCCUGAACCAGCCAAGUAGCGUGAAGGAUGAAGGCUCUAUGGGUCGUAAACUUCUUUUAUAUAAGAAUAAAGUGCAGUAUGUAUACUGUUUGAUGUACCCUAUGAAUAAGCAUCGGCUAAUCCGUGCCAGCAGCCGG